CGGGUGAGUAAUGUCUGGGAAACUGCCUGAUGGAGGGGGAUAACUACUGGAAACGGUAGCUAAUACCGCAUAACGUCGCAAGACCAAAGAGGGGGACCUUCGGGCCUCUUGCCAUCGGAUGUGCCCAGAUGGGAUUAGCUAGUAGGUGGGGUAAUGGCUUACCUAGGCGACGAUCCCUAGCUGGUCUGAGAGGAUGAUCAGCCACACUGGGACUGAGACACGGCCCAG
This 228-nucleotide ribosomal RNA is filed under the name uncultured bacterium. RNAcentral's name for it is "partial 16S ribosomal RNA". It matches the Rfam family "Bacterial small subunit ribosomal RNA", at positions 103 to 334 of the family's 1533-position model. The record is from RNAcentral.